Molecule: ribosomal RNA, 497 nt
Filed under: uncultured bacterium
Lineage: Bacteria
Description: partial 16S ribosomal RNA
Rfam family: Bacterial small subunit ribosomal RNA
Source: RNAcentral
GAUGAACGCUGGCGGCGUGCCUAAUACAUGCCAGUCGAACGAACGGACGAGAAGCUUGCUUCUCUGAUGUUAGCGGCGGACGGGUGAGUAACACGUGGAUAACCUACCUAUAAGACUGGGAUAACUUCGGGAAACCGGAGCUAAUACCGGAUAAUAUUUUGAACCGCAUGGUUCAAAAGUGAAAGACGGUCUUGCUGUCACUUAUAGAUGGAUCCGCGCUGCAUUAGCUAGUUGGUAAGGUAACGGCUUACCAAGGCAACGAUGCAUAGCCGACCUGAGAGGGUGAUCGGCCACACUGGAACUGAGACACGGUCCAGACUCCUACGGGAGGCAGCAGUAGGGAAUCUUCCGCAAUGGGCGAAAGCCUGACGGAGCAACGCCGCGUGAGUGAUGAAGGUCUUCGGAUCGUAAAACUCUGUUAUUAGGGAAGAACAUAUGUGUAAGUAACUGUGCACAUCUUGACGGUACCUAAUCAGAAAGCCACGGCUAACUACGUG